RNAcentral lists this ribosomal RNA (397 nucleotides) under bacterium enrichment culture. Its description in RNAcentral is "bacterial SSU rRNA". It matches the Rfam family "Bacterial small subunit ribosomal RNA", at positions 521 to 916 of the family's 1533-position model. The record is from RNAcentral.
UAAUACGUAGGGUGCGAGCGUUAAUCGGAAUUACUGGGCGUAAAGCGUGCGCAGGCGGUUUUGUAAGACAGAUGUGAAAUCCCCGGGCUUAACCUGGGAACUGCGUUUGUGACUGCAAGGCUAGAGUACGGCAGAGGGGGGUGGAAUUCCUGGUGUAGCAGUGAAAUGCGUAGAUAUCAGGAGGAACACCGAUGGCGAAGGCAGCCCCCUGGGCCUGUACUGACGCUCAUGCACGAAAGCGUGGGGAGCAAACAGGAUUAGAUACCCUGGUAGUCCACGCCCUAAACGAUGUCGACUAGUCGUUCGGAGCAGCAAUGCACUGAGUGACGCAGCUAACGCGUGAAGUCGACCGCCUGGGGAGUACGGCCGCAAGGUUAAAACUCAAAUGAAUUGACGG